Molecule: ribosomal RNA, 403 nt
Filed under: uncultured bacterium
Lineage: Bacteria
Description: bacterial SSU rRNA
Rfam family: Bacterial small subunit ribosomal RNA
Source: RNAcentral
UGAGGAAUAUUGCACAAUGGCGGAAACUCUGAUGCAGCAACGCCGCGUGGAGGAUGACGCAUUUCGGUGUGUAAACUCCUUUUAAGAGGGAAGAUAAUGACGGUACCUCUUGAAUAAGCACCGGCUAACUCCGUGCCAGCAGCCGCGGUAAUACGGAGGGUGCAAGCGUUACUCGGAAUCACUGGGCGUAAAGGGUGCGUAGGCUGGCUUCUAAGUCAGAUGUGAAAUCCAAUGGCUUAACCAUUGAACUGCAUUUGAAACUGGAAGCCUAGAGUUCAGAAGGGGCAGAUGGAAUUAGUGGUGUAGGGGUAAGAUCCGUAGAUAUCACUAGGAAUAUCAAAAGCGAAGGCGAUCUGCUGGGAUGAUACUGACGCUGAGGCACGAAAACGUGGGGAGCAAACAG